RNAcentral lists this ribosomal RNA (449 nucleotides) under uncultured bacterium. Its description in RNAcentral is "SSU rRNA". It matches the Rfam family "Bacterial small subunit ribosomal RNA", at positions 26 to 518 of the family's 1533-position model. The record is from RNAcentral.
AGAGCGAACGCUGGCGGCAGGCUUAACACAUGCAAGUCGAGCGGGCGUAGCAAUACGUCAGCGGCAGACGGGUGAGUAACGCGUGGGAACGUACCUUUUGGUUCGGAACAACACAGGGAAACUUGUGCUAAUACCGGAUAAGCCCUUACGGGGAAAGAUUUAUCGCCAAAAGAUCGGCCCGCGUCUGAUUAGCUAGUUGGUGAGGUAACGGCUCACCAAGGCGACGAUCAGUAGCUGGUCUGAGAGGAUGAUCAGCCACAUUGGGACUAAGACACGGCCCAAACUCCUACGGGAGGCAGCAGUGGGGAAUAUUGGACAAUGGGCGCAAGCCUGAUCCAGCCAUGCCGCGUGAGUGAUGAAGGCCCCUAGGGUUGUAAAGCUCUUUUGUGCGGGAAGAUAAUGACGGUACCGCAAGAAUAAGCCCCGGCUAACUUCGUGCCAGCAGCCGC